UGGUAUUAACAGCUUAUUUUAAUAAAAUACUUUGCUGUAAAACACACAGUAUGAUAAUAAAUGCUAGAGAUAAUAAAAGUUAGAAGUAGAAUGAUGCCAGAUUGAGGAUUGUGUGGAAAUUCUUCUGUACAGGUAAACCUUAAUUCUGUGUAUGUGCAGACAUCAUAGAUGUGUUUGUGUGGUGAAGUGAUGGGGAAACACUUAUAUCUCCUGAUGAACUUGGAGGAAGUGUGUAGAAGUAUGGAGUGAGUGGAGGUGGCAUCAGGGAAAUUUAAAAGGGUGCCCUGUGCUCCAUGAGGUGAGACGAUGAAAGCAAGUGUGAGUGUGAAUGCCAUGAUGGGAGGAUGAGGAAUAUGCAAUAAAGGAAAUGAAUAAAGAGGAUUUAUUCCAUGGAAUAAAUGGAGUAGGGAGGAGGAGGGAAAAGUGAAGCAUGAUGUGCUGGGAGAGUGGGAGAAUUUUUGUUGGAUUGACAUAAAUGAAGGAGUCAGGAGGGAUCCUGUGUGUGAGGGGGUGAGUGGAGGCCUUGGUGAGAGAUUUAUGAGACAGACACUCAUUUUGGCGUUGGGGAAAGGGCAGGAGAUAAACAUAGACUUGAGGGUGAGCUGCAUCACCCUUCUAAUGAUUGUAAUUAGAAAUUACAAGCCCUUCGAUGGAAAAAGCCAUAGAAAUGUACAGUUGGUGAGCACCAAACUGACCAGAUUCUCAUAGCAUGCAGCGGGAGUGUUUGGAGAAAUCCCCCCAGGAAUGCAGACAAGCAAUAAGAGAUCAGAGGCAACUCAAGACAGAAGCACAGGAUAGAGUCAAGAGUUUGAAGGAGCAAAUACUGGACACUGUUAAAAGUUAAAUAGUGGAAAUCAAAUGAAAGCCUGUAUAUUUGCUACCAGAAAAUUACCAGUGACCUUUAAGAGUAUAAUUUCCACGUUUUAGUGAAAACCUCAUUUAGUGAAAACCAUUAGGUGAAAACCUCACUUAUGGCUCAAGGGAUGAACUCUGUGAUAAAAUAAUUCCAAAUAGUGGACACCAAUCAUUUGAGAACUCUGGAUGUGAAAGAGGAAAUAAUUAGAAUGAUAGAUAGCAAAGAUUCCUCUCCCUGUACUGAGAGGUUGUAUAUUUUUUUCUUUAAUGAGGGCAAAGUGGUCAAUGAGAGGCAAGAGAAACAAAAGAAACCCCAGGAUGGCAAAGAGGAUAAAAGAAGGAAUAAGAUCCUUAUUGAAAGAGAUAGUUGAAAAAGAUAAUAAAAGAGGUAGAGAGUAUGAAAUCAAAGAUUAGAUCAGUUAUCAUCACCAAAUAAUGGCUAUCUCCCCUGAUUCAGUGGGAAUCCAUUAUAUCCACUAUACGAUCCAUUAGUAUAGGAAAGUUGGAUCUUUCUCUUGUUUUGUACACCCCAAGGAAAAGAAAGUUGGGGGAUGGACAGGCAUGGUGUAAUAGUGAAAAUGAGUCGAUCGUAUAAAAAAAAAAUUUUAAGUUUGAACAGUUUCUGUUAAAUGGACAUUAAAUGUCCAAAAUUGAUAUUGUAACAUAUAGAUCUACUUUAAAAGCCUUUCUGGGAUGAAGGAAAGCACAAAAGAAGCUGCCUUCCAGCAUACAUCUACAUAUAUUCUUACAUAUAUUAUACUCCGCCUUGAUCAAUGAUGAAGGCUCCUUAAACAUUUGUUUCCUUUCCUCUUAUGUAAAUAGAAAGUCAAACAUCCACACUGUCAUUUCCUUUAUUCUGAGCCCAUAUGCAAAAGAUAGAAUCUUAAGAACAUCAAGUUGAGAAGAAAAAUAGAAAAGGACAAGAUAUGAUCACACU
Molecule: long non-coding RNA, 1792 nt
Filed under: Canis lupus familiaris (dog)
Lineage: Eukaryota; Metazoa; Chordata; Mammalia; Carnivora; Canidae
Description: lncRNA (ENSCAFG00040004363.1)
Source: RNAcentral